UGAGUUUGAUCCUGGCUCAGAUUGAACGCUGGCGGCAUGCCUUACACAUGCAAGUCGAACGGCAGCACGGGUGCUUGCACCUGGUGGCGAGUGGCGAACGGGUGAGUAAUACAUCGGAACAUGUCCUGUAGUGGGGGAUAGCCCGGCGAAAGCCGGAUUAAUACCGCAUACGAUCUACGGAUGAAAGCGGGGGACCUUCGGGCCUCGCGCUAUAGGGUUGGCCGAUGGCUGAUUAGCUAGUUGGUGGGGUAAAGGCCUACCAAGGCGACGAUCAGUAGCUGGUCUGAGAGGACGACCAGCCACACUGGGACUGAGACACGGCCCAGACUCCUACGGGAGGCAGCAGUGGGGAAUUUUGGACAAUGGGCGAAAGCCUGAUCCAGCAAUGCCGCGUGUGUGAAGAAGGCCUUCGGGUUGUAAAGCACUUUUGUCCGGAAAGAAAUCCUUGGCUCUAAUACAGUCGGGGGAUGACGGUACCGGAAGAAUAAGCACCGGCUAACUACGUGCCAGCAGCCGCGGUAAUACGUAGGGUGCGAGCGUUAAUCGGAAUUACUGGGCGUAAAGCGUGCGCAGGCGGUUUGCUAAGACCGAUGUGAAAUCUCCGGGCUCAACCUGGGAACUGCAUUGGUGACUGGCAGGCUAGAGUAUGGCAGAGGGGGGUAGAUUCCACGUGUAGCAAUGAAAUGCGUAAAGAUGUGGAGGAAUACCGAUGGCGAAGGCAGCCCCCUGGGCCAAUACUGACGUUCAUGCACGAAAGCGUGGGGAGCAAACAGGAUAGGAUACCCUGGUAGUCCACGCCCUAAACGAUGUCAACUAGUUGUUGGGGAUUCAUUCCUUUAGUAACGUAGCUAACGCGUGAAGUUGACCGCCUGGGGAGUACGGUCGCAAGAUUAAAACUCAAAGGAAUUGACGGGGACCCGCACAAGCGGUGGAUGAUGUGGAUUAAUUCGAUGCAACGCGAAAAACCUUACCUACCCUUGACAUGGUCGGAAUCCUGCUGAGAGGCGGGAGUGCUCGAAAGAGAACCGGCGCACAGGUGCUGCAUGGCUGUCGUCAGCUCGUGUCGUGAGAUGUUGGGUUAAGUCCCGCAACGAGCGCAACCCUUGUCCUUAGUUGCUACGCAAGAGCACUCUAAGGAGACUGCCGGUGACAAACCGGAGGAAGGUGGGAUGACGUCAAGUCCUCAUGGCCCUUAUGGGUAGGGCUUCACACGUCAUACAAUGGUCGGAACAGAGGGUUGCCAACCCGUGAGGGGGAGCUAAUCCCAGAAAACCGAUCGUAGUCCGGAUUGCACUCUGCAACUCGAGUGCAUGAAGCUGGAAUCGCUAGUAAUCGCGGAUCAGCAUGCCGCGGUGAAUACGUUCCCGGGUCUUGUACACACCGCCCGUCACACCAUGGGAGUGGGUUUUACCAGAAGUGGCUAGUCUAACCGCAAGGAGGACGGUCACCACGGUAGGAUUCAUGACUGGGGUGAAGUCGUAACAAGGUA
RNAcentral lists this ribosomal RNA (1489 nucleotides) under uncultured beta proteobacterium. Its description in RNAcentral is "16S ribosomal RNA". It matches the Rfam family "Bacterial small subunit ribosomal RNA". Lineage: Bacteria; Pseudomonadati; Pseudomonadota; Betaproteobacteria. The record is from RNAcentral.